UACAGAGGUCCCGAGCGUUGUUCGGAUUCACUGGGCGUAAAGGGUGCGUAGGUGGCGAGGUAAGUCGGAUGUGAAAGCUCGGAGCUCAACUCCGAAAUGGCAUUGGAAACUACCUUGCUCGAGGGUUGGAGGGGGGACUGGAAUACUUGGUGUAGCAGUGAAAUGCGUAGAUAUCUGGAGGAAUACCGGUGGCGAAGGCGGCAUCCUGGACCGGCAUUGACGCUGAGGAGCGAAAGCCAGGGGAGCAAACGGG
Molecule: ribosomal RNA, 253 nt
Filed under: uncultured bacterium
Lineage: Bacteria
Description: partial 16S ribosomal RNA
Rfam family: Bacterial small subunit ribosomal RNA
Source: RNAcentral